RNAcentral lists this ribosomal RNA (720 nucleotides) under Klebsiella pneumoniae. RNAcentral describes it as "partial 23S ribosomal RNA". It matches the Rfam family "Bacterial large subunit ribosomal RNA", at positions 2104 to 2823 of the family's 2925-position model. Lineage: Bacteria; Pseudomonadati; Pseudomonadota; Gammaproteobacteria; Enterobacterales; Enterobacteriaceae. The record is from RNAcentral.
CUAUAGCUUGACACUGAACAUUGAGCCUUGAUGUGUAGGAUAGGUGGGAGGCUUUGAAGCGUGGACGCCAGUCUGCGUGGAGCCAACCUUGAAAUACCACCCUUUAAUGUUUGAUGUUCUAACGUUGGCCCCUGACCGGGGUUGCGGACAGUGUCUGGUGGGUAGUUUGACUGGGGCGGUCUCCUCCCAAAGCGUAACGGAGGAGCACGAAGGUUAGCUAAUCCUGGUCGGACAUCAGGAGGUUAGUGCAAUGGCAUAAGCUAGCUUGACUGCGAGCGUGACGGCGCGAGCAGGUGCGAAAGCAGGUCAUAGUGAUCCGGUGGUUCUGAAUGGAAGGGCCAUCGCUCAACGGAUAAAAGGUACUCCGGGGAUAACAGGCUGAUACCGCCCAAGAGUUCAUAUCGACGGCGGUGUUUGGCACCUCGAUGUCGGCUCAUCACAUCCUGGGGCUGAAGUAGGUCCCAAGGGUAUGGCUGUUCGCCAUUUAAAGUGGUACGCGAGCUGGGUUUAGAACGUCGUGAGACAGUUCGGUCCCUAUCUGCCGUGGGCGCUGGAGAAUUGAGGGGGGCUGCUCCUAGUACGAGAGGACCGGAGUGGACGCAUCACUGGUGUUCGGGUUGUCAUGCCAAUGGCACUGCCCGGUAGCUAAAUGCGGAAGAGAUAAGUGCUGAAAGCAUCUAAGCACGAAACUUGCCCCGAGAUGAGUUCUCCCUGAGACUU